AUUGAACGCUGGCGGCAUGCUUUACACAUGCAAGUCGAACGGCAGCGCGGGGCAACCUGGCGGCGAGUGGCGAACGGGUGAGUAAUAUAUCGGAACGUACCCAGAAGUGGGGGAUAACGUAGCGAAAGUUACGCUAAUACCGCAUACGAUCUACGGAUGAAAGUGGGGGACCUUCGGGCCUCAUGCUUUUGGAGCGGCCGAUAUCUGAUUAGCUAGUUGGUGAGGUAAAGGCUCACCAAGGCGACGAUCAGUAGCUGGUCUGAGAGGACGACCAGCCACACUGGGACUGAGACACGGCCCAGACUCCUACGGGAGGCAGCAGUGGGGAAUUUUGGACAAUGGGCGCAAGCCUGAUCCAGCAAUGCCGCGUGAGUGAAGAGAGCCUUCGGGUUGUAAGGCUCUUUUGUCAGGGAAGAAACGGCCGAGGAUAAUACCUUCGGCUAAUGACGGUACCUGAAGAAUAAGCACCGGCUAACUACGUGCCAGCCGCCGCCGUAA
This 498-nucleotide ribosomal RNA is filed under the name uncultured bacterium. RNAcentral's name for it is "partial 16S ribosomal RNA". It matches the Rfam family "Bacterial small subunit ribosomal RNA", at positions 30 to 523 of the family's 1533-position model. The record is from RNAcentral.